UCAAUAUAUUUACAUAAAAGAAGCAAAAUAUUGAUUAUUAUUCAGAGCAAAAGACUCAUAAAAAAUAUUUCAGCAAAUAAUGGCUAUUUGAAAAUAGUUAAAAUAAAGAAAAUGCAUAGAAUUACGUACUUUCAAAAUAAAAGCUACUAAUUUUGCGCGGUAACUGACACGUAACGUCAUGACGUCAAUGACGUCAUUUUAAGGCAACAUUGUUUUGAAGCGUUUCUGCAGCAAUUUAUUCAUUAUUUCUGCAUUAUUAAACCAUAAAGCAUCAGAUCGAAUACAGGUUCAUGAUUAAUUUCCAGAAGAACGAAUAGCGUGUGUUGAUCUUGUGCGCGUUUCGGGAGGCUGUGUUUUUAGAACGCGGCUUUCCCUGUUGGAUACUCUUCCUUGUUUUUUUCCCAUAAGGUCGUGACCAACACGCCACGCUGGAGCAUGUUUUCAACAGACGUUACAUAUAAUGUUUCAGGUGAUUGAAAUGGGAUAGAUUUGUGUCCGCUUAAGCCCGUGCUAGGGGGCGUGCGUGUCGGUUGUUGAACUUUUCGCUUCAUAAAUCAAACAGGGUCCAAGUGGUAGACCACGCUGUAUGGUGCAUGAUAUUGGACCUCCAAUAAGAUUAGUCGCAAGUCGUCACUCCAGGCACAGCAGCUCUCCAGUGUGGACUUUUACUAAUACAUUAGACAGACCAUAGAACAUCAAAAAUUAUACUAAAAGGCAAGAUUAUUGUGAAGAAUGGCAAUGAUGAUGAUGAUGAUGAUGAUGUCGACGACGAACUCUGACGUGUCUUGGCAAUGUUCAAUCAGUGUAUAGAGAUCUACGAUGUUUGCCUUUGUUUCAAUCAUAGAAAAGAAAACAAGAAUGCUUGUCUUAAAGUCAUGCUAGAAUGCACGCUUAUUGUGAAGAAUAAAGAUGAUGAUGAUGAUGAUGAUGAUGAUGAUGAUGAUGAUGAUGGUGGUUACGCUUGUAAUGAUGAUGGUGACGACGACAAAUUACUUGUCUUAGCUCACGUUUGGCCAGUGAACACUGAUCUACGAUGAGUACCUUUGUUUCGAGCGAAAACAGGAUCAAGAAACGUCCAGAAGGUUCAAGUGAUGCACAAGAUCGCUGUAUGGUGGAUGAUACUGGCCAAAAUAUUGAUGACUUCCAACAGGAUUUGUCGCAACCAGUGGUCACUCGUAGAAGGACAUCUGAAAGGUAAAAG
This is a long non-coding RNA of Mercenaria mercenaria, 1201 nucleotides long. RefSeq lists it as uncharacterized. The transcript has 6 exons. NCBI's taxonomy places the organism in Eukaryota, Metazoa, Mollusca, Bivalvia, Venerida, Veneridae. The record is from RefSeq and is a predicted model, not a curated record.